GUGUCAGCCGCCGCGGUAAUACAGAGGGUGCUAGCGUUGUUCGGAAUUAUUGGGCGUAAAGCGCGUGUAGGCGGCUCUGCAAGUUGGGUGUGAAAGCCCUCGGCUUAACCGAGGAAGUGCGCCCAAAACUACGGAGCUUGAGUGCCGGAGAGGGUGGCGGAAUUCCCGGUGUAGAGGUGAAAUUCGUAGAUAUCGGGAGGAACACCAGUGGCGAAGGCGGCCACCUGGACGGUGACUGACGCUGAGACGCGAAAGCGUGGGGAGCAAACAGGAUUAGAUACCCUCGUAGUCC
RNAcentral lists this ribosomal RNA (292 nucleotides) under uncultured bacterium. RNAcentral's name for it is "partial 16S ribosomal RNA". It matches the Rfam family "Bacterial small subunit ribosomal RNA", at positions 505 to 796 of the family's 1533-position model. The record is from RNAcentral.